Molecule: ribosomal RNA, 426 nt
Filed under: uncultured bacterium
Lineage: Bacteria
Description: bacterial SSU rRNA
Rfam family: Bacterial small subunit ribosomal RNA
Source: RNAcentral
UGAGGAAUAUUGCGCAAUGGGGGCAACCCUGACGCAGCAACGCCGCGUGAGUGAGGAAGGUUUUCGGACCGUAAAGCUCUGUCGAGCGGGAAGAAAUGCAUGGUGGCUAAUAUCCAUCAUGCUUGACGGUACCGCUAAAGGAAGCACCGGCUAACUCCGUGCCAGCAGCCGCGGUUAUACGGGGGGGGCGCGCGUUGUUCGGAAUUUUUGGGCGUAAAGGGCGUGUAGGCGGCCGAAUAAGUUAGUUGUGAAAUCCCGGGGCUUAACCCAGGACGUGCAUUUGAAACUAUUCGGCUGGAGUAGGGGAGAGGAAAGUGGAAUUCCUGUUGUAGAGGUGAGAUUCGUAGAUAUCAGGAGGAACACCGGUGGCGAAGGCGACUUUCUGGCCCUAUACUGACGCUGAGACGCGAGAGCGUGGGUAGCAAA